UACGUAGGUGGCAAGCGUUGUCCGGAAUUAUUGGGCGUAAAGCGCGCGCAGGCGGUCCUUUAAGUCUGAUGUGAAAGCCCACGGCUCAACCGUGGAGGGUCAUUGGAAACUGGGGGACUUGAGUGCAGAAGAGGAAAGCGGAAUUCCACGUGUAGCGGUGAAAUGCGUAGAGAUGUGGAGGAACACCAGUGGCGAAGGCGGCUUUCUGGUCUGUAACUGACGCUGAGACGCGAAAGCGUGGGGAGCAAACAGG
Molecule: ribosomal RNA, 253 nt
Filed under: uncultured bacterium
Lineage: Bacteria
Description: partial 16S ribosomal RNA
Rfam family: Bacterial small subunit ribosomal RNA
Source: RNAcentral